RNAcentral lists this ribosomal RNA (496 nucleotides) under uncultured bacterium. RNAcentral describes it as "partial 16S ribosomal RNA". It matches the Rfam family "Bacterial small subunit ribosomal RNA", at positions 29 to 507 of the family's 1533-position model. The record is from RNAcentral.
AUGAACGCUGGCGGCGUGCCUAAUACAUGCAAGUCGAGCGAACAGAUGAGGAGCUUGCUCCUCUGACGUUAGCGGCGGACGGGUGAGUAACACGUGGAUAACCUACCUAUAAGACUGGGAUAACUUCGGGAAACCGGAGCUAAUACCGGAUAAUAUAUUGAACCGCAUGGUUCAAUAGUGAAAGACGGUUUUGCUGUCACUUAUAGAUGGAUCCGCGCCGCAUUAGCUAGUUGGUAAGGUAACGGCUUACCAAGGCAACGAUGCGUAGCCGACCUGAGAGGGUGAUCGGCCACACUGGAACUGAGACACGGUCCAGACUCCUACGGGAGGCAGCAGUAGGGAAUCUUCCGCAAUGGGUGAAAGCCUGACGGAGCAACGCCGCGUGAGUGAUGAAGGUCUUCUGAUCGUAAAACUCUGUUAUUAGGGAAGAACAAAUGUGUAAGUAACUAUGCACGUCUUGACGGUACCUAAUCAGAAAGCCACGGCUAACUACGUG